GGGGAAUAUUGGACAAUGGGGGAAACCCUGAUCCAGCGAUGCCGCGUGAGUGAAGAAGGCCUUCGGGUUGUAAAGCUCUUUUAGUAGGGAAGAUGAUGACGGUACCUACAGAAAAAGCACCGGCUAACUUCGUGCCAGCAGCCGCGGUAAUACGAAGGGUGCAAGCGUUGUUCGGAAUUACUGGGCGUAAAGCGUGCGUAGGCGGUUUGUUAAGUCAGACGUGAAAGCCCCGAGCUCAACUUGGGAAAUGCGUUUGAUACUGGCAGGCUAGAGUAUUGGAGAGGAGAGUGGAAUUCCUAGUGUAGAGGUGAAAUUCGUAGAUAUUAGGAAGAACACCAGUGGCGAAGGCGACUCUCUGGCCAAUUACUGACGCUGAGGUACGAAAGCGUGGGGAGCAAAC
This 400-nucleotide ribosomal RNA is filed under the name uncultured bacterium. RNAcentral describes it as "bacterial SSU rRNA". It matches the Rfam family "Bacterial small subunit ribosomal RNA", at positions 356 to 773 of the family's 1533-position model. The record is from RNAcentral.